GUGCUUGCUUCGGCAGCACACAUACUAAAAUUGGAACGAUACAGAGAAGAUUAGUAUGGCCCCUGCGUAAGGAUGACACACAAAUCCGUGAAGUGUUCCAUAUUUCU
This 107-nucleotide small nuclear RNA is filed under the name Meriones unguiculatus (Mongolian gerbil). The record is from RNAcentral. Lineage: Eukaryota; Metazoa; Chordata; Mammalia; Rodentia; Muridae.